This 79-nucleotide transfer RNA is filed under the name Geotrichum candidum. RNAcentral describes it as "tRNA-Pro". The record is from RNAcentral. Lineage: Eukaryota; Fungi; Ascomycota; Dipodascomycetes; Dipodascales; Dipodascaceae.
CAGAUGAAAGCCAACCGGUUAGGCGUCUUCUUUGGGUGAAGAACUUAGUUAGUUCGAUUCUAGCUCAUCUGAUUUAUUA